This is a long non-coding RNA of Frankliniella occidentalis (western flower thrips), 758 nucleotides long. RefSeq lists it as uncharacterized. Lineage: Eukaryota; Metazoa; Arthropoda; Insecta; Thysanoptera; Thripidae. The transcript has 4 exons. The record is from RefSeq and is a predicted model, not a curated record.
UUGAAGUGAUUAAUUAAAUGAUUAUUUCUUCGUGUGCAUACGAUUGUUCGUUAAAACUUCAGGGGCCGAUUAACGCGUUAGCGUUAGAAUUUUUGAUGUUCAUUGGUUCUGGUUGUAGCAGAGUAUUUUAUUAUUUACUCAUAUUGCAGGGUAUCUGAAGUUACAUAAGUAAUCGGUGGGCAUUUUCUGUGAGCACCUGUGGAUUUAGAGGAGUGUUACUUCUUAGGAGUACAGUAGUGUGUGCCAAUCGUCUCUUCCACUCGGUCCAGUUUUGUACGUUCGAAUUUCCCAAAAUGCAUGGUAGAAGGAACUUUUUGAUGUUCAUUGAGUGUAGUUGUAGGAGAGUAUUCUAUUAUUUACUCACAUUGCAGGGUAUCUAAAGUGACAUCGGUAUUCAGUGGACAUUUUCUGUGAGCACCUGUGGAUUUAGAGAAGUGUUACCACUCGGGGUUCAGUCCAGUUUUGAUAUCUGACCAGCAUUUGGUGGACGUUCGUGUUAUUCGUGUUCGGAUAGCCUACAACUGUGAACUUCCAGAAGUAAAAAGUGACAAAUUAGCUAGAUGGCGUCGUUAAUUGCUGACCUCCCGGACGAAAUGUUUCUUGAAGUAAUGAAAUACCUUGCAGUGAAAGACAUAGAUACUGCUGAAAGAAACAACUCUUGUUUGGUGACUUCUAAUCUUAUGCAAUGCUGAGCUGUUCGUAAAUUUAACUGCAGAAACUAAACUUAUCAUAGUAGCAACUGGAAUUUAUAUUCAUGG